CUACGGGGUGCUGCAGUGGGGAAUAUUGCACAAUGGGGGAAACCCUGAUGCAGCAACGCCGCGUGGAGGAUGACGCAUUUCGGUGUGUAAACUCCUUUUAUAUAGGAAGAUAAUGACGGUACUAUAUGAAUAAGCACCGGCUAACUCCGUGCCAGCAGCCGCGGUAAUACGGAGGGUGCAAGCGUUUCUCGGAAUCACUGGGCGUAAAGCGCGCGCAGGCGGCCUUUUAAGUUGGAUGUGAAAGCCUAUGGCUUAACCAUGGAACUGCAUCCAAAACUAUCAGGCUAGAGUCUGGGAGGGGAAGAUGGAAUUAGUUGUGUAGGGGUAAAAUCCGUAGAGAUAACUAGGAAUACCAAAAGCGAAGGCGAUCUUCUGGAACAGUACUGACGCUGAGGCGCGAAGGCGUGGGGAGCAAACAGGAUUAGAUACCCCCGUAGUC
Molecule: ribosomal RNA, 439 nt
Filed under: uncultured bacterium
Lineage: Bacteria
Description: partial 16S ribosomal RNA
Rfam family: Bacterial small subunit ribosomal RNA
Source: RNAcentral